This 860-nucleotide ribosomal RNA is filed under the name Pseudomonas sp. Its description in RNAcentral is "bacterial SSU rRNA". It matches the Rfam family "Bacterial small subunit ribosomal RNA", at positions 17 to 873 of the family's 1533-position model. The record is from RNAcentral. Lineage: Bacteria; Pseudomonadati; Pseudomonadota; Gammaproteobacteria; Pseudomonadales; Pseudomonadaceae.
ACUCUGCUCAGAUUGAACGCUGGCGGCAGGCCUAACACAUGCAAGUCGAGCGGUAGAGAGAAGCUUGCUUCUCUUGAGAGCGGCGGACGGGUGAGUAAUGCCUAGGAAUCUGCCUGGUAGUGGGGGAUAACGUUCGGAAACGGACGCUAAUACCGCAUACGUCCUACGGGAGAAAGCAGGGGACCUUCGGGCCUUGCGCUAUCAGAUGAGCCUAGGUCGGAUUAGCUAGUUGGUGAGGUAAUGGCUCACCAAGGCGACGAUCCGUAACUGGUCUGAGAGGAUGAUCAGUCACACUGGAACUGAGACACGGUCCAGACUCCUACGGGAGGCAGCAGUGGGGAAUAUUGGACAAUGGGCGAAAGCCUGAUCCAGCCAUGCCGCGUGUGUGAAGAAGGUCUUCGGAUUGUAAAGCACUUUAAGUUGGGAGGAAGGGCAGUAAAUUAAUACUUUGCUGUUUUGACGUUACCGACAGAAUAAGCACCGGCUAACUCUGUGCCAGCAGCCGCGGUAAUACAGAGGGUGCAAGCGUUAAUCGGAAUUACUGGGCGUAAAGCGCGCGUAGGUGGUUCGUUAAGUUGGAUGUGAAAUCCCCGGGCUCAACCUGGGAACUGCAUUCAAAACUGACGAGCUAGAGUAUGGUAGAGGGUGGUGGAAUUUCCUGUGUAGCGGUGAAAUGCGUAGAUAUAGGAAGGAACACCAGUGGCGAAGGCGACCACCUGGACUGAUACUGACACUGAGGUGCGAAAGCGUGGGGAGCAAACAGGAUUAGAUACCCUGGUAGUCCACGCCGUAAACGAUGUCAACUAGCCGUUGGGAGCCUUGAGCUCUUAGUGGCGCAGCUAACGCAUUAAGUGACCGCC